Molecule: long non-coding RNA, 582 nt
Organism: Carassius gibelio (silver crucian carp)
Lineage: Eukaryota; Metazoa; Chordata; Actinopteri; Cypriniformes; Cyprinidae
Exons: 3
Source: RefSeq, a predicted model, not a curated record
UAGGUGUGAGUCUGUGUUAAGAGUUUAGAAAAAGUAUCUGAAGUAUGGUUAAGCGCUUGUUAGCGAUUGAAAAAAACUGUAUUCCCAUUACGUGUUACUUACUUCACUUGCUAUGCAGGUCUCCUUUAUAACAUUAACAUUAUUGAUUUAGUUCAUUUACAUGUGAAUUGUACGCACAAUAUCAGUAUAAAUGUGUGAUGUCAAACAUACCCCUCCCUCUUUACGGAGUUACAGGUCACAACAAAUACAUGUAAUCUGUAGACUGUGGGAUAUACUUUUGUUUUCUUUUUUUGUAUGUUAACAAUUGGAUUAACAUUUCACUAUUUGCUUAUGUUUCUAAACAGUUUCUAAAAAAGAAAAGGAUUGUCCACACAACAGCCAGGAGGUGCACGCAUAUAGAUGCGUGAUCAAAACUAGGAAGAGAAAGGGGAAGAUGGAGAAAUUGAUAGAUUGGCUCCCCUGCAAACUGUGCGGGAAAACCUGGCCUCCAACAUGGGAGACUGCUUGACACACACACACGCACACACAAUCACUCACUCACUCACUUACUCAUUCUCUCUAUUUCUCUCUAAUAAAAUAAAA